Alnus glutinosa is the source of this 2689-nucleotide long non-coding RNA. RefSeq lists it as uncharacterized. The transcript has 5 exons. NCBI's taxonomy places the organism in Eukaryota, Viridiplantae, Streptophyta, Magnoliopsida, Fagales, Betulaceae. The record is from RefSeq and is a predicted model, not a curated record.
AACUCUCUAGCGUCUCUGCUUCUCUCUCAGUAAAGGAGCCCUUCAGGUUCAUCGCACAACUCCUUCAAUUCUCUCGGUUCUAGCUCUUUCUCCUCUCUUUCUCUGCAUCACUCUUUGUUUGAUGCAGUAGCUGUAGUUUCUCAUCUCUUUCACCUUACUUCUCUUAAUUAGUUAGAAACACUCUCUCGGGUUGGCUUUGACAAGAAGGAAAUCAGGAGCCUUUUGGUUAUCAUUUCUGUGAAUACUUUUUGAAGCAGGAAAGAACUACAGGGGCAAGCCAAAACCAACUCCUGACAAGAUGUUGGAUCAAAGUAGAAAAUCACCAGCAGCAGAGGGGUAAUUCGAUUCUCAUUAUGCGUGAUGUGGUGAAAAUGAUUAAUUCGACUAGAUUUGCCUUGCCUGCAUCAAGAUUCAGAAGAUAUCAUUGUCAUGGAUGCUAUCUCCAUGCAUGGAUCGGAAUUGGCUUCAAUCUUUGAAGACAUCUUCCUCAAUUUCUCUCAUGGCUUAAAGGUGCCAGCCAUAAAAGUGACCUUUAGGAAAAGUGCCCAAGGAUCAUAAUGCAUGCAUGUUUCAUUGAAUUUAAACGAGAAAGGGGCCAUUUAAGCCAGAAAGUCAAGUUAUGGAAGAUACAAAAUCUUUGUUCUCCAUCAUCAUCCUCAUCAUUUCACCAUGUUGUUGCUCGCCAUUGGUGCUUAUAACAUAGUCACGGCCGUCAGAUUCUUGUUCUUUUCUUAGCACUUGACCCCUCGUUGUCUUUGACUUGGCAUUGGCGAAUAGCCAUGUGGCGUCCAUCUGUUUGCUGAUCAUACGAGCCGCGUAGUAUGGGAUCUUCACGCGCUUUGUAUGGCCCGACUUGACGCAACCGUUGAUGAACAUCAUGCAGUCCAUCAAGCUUUCUUUGGCCAACCCUUUCAUGUCAUAAGCUUGUGAUCUUCUCCAAAGACUUUUACUGUGGGAAUUUGCAGGCAUGGAGAGGCAAAGAGCUCGAGUUGAGUCGCUAAUGGCAGAGUCCGCGUCUCUAAGCAGCAAAUGACACUGAGCUCUAUUACUAUGUAGCACCAUUCUCUCUUUUCUUAGCUUUAACGGGCACAACUCUAAUGCUUCAGAAUAUUUACCUGCAGCUUCUUCAAUCUCCCCUAACCAAAACAUAUGGUUUGCUUGUUGUUUUAUCAGACCUACUAUAACCCUUCUCUCUUCAACUUUUUCUUCACUCAUUAGUUUCUCCUUCUUCCUCCUCUCUACUUUCAAAAUCCAUAACUCUUGCAAAGCUUUUUGAACUUCCUGGUUUUUGAACUUGCAUUUUUUGUGAUCUAAAAGUAGCAGCUUUGUGAUUGCUUCACCUAUGUUUGAUCUAUCUCCAAGGCUUCCUAGUUCAACCAAAUCCAUAAGAAAAAAGAAAAUUACCUCAAAAACUUUGUACCUUGUGCAAUGAUCUUUGAGAAGUAACAAAAGACAGUCGAUGCCCAUAUACUGCCAAUCAUCCGAAGACCUCGAGAGAUUACAGAGAGUCUCUAUAAUCUCUUUUGAUUCAGCAAUGCUUUUUCUUCCAUCUUUACUGUAACACAAGAUUCUAAUAAGGCCAAACCCAGCAGGUGACGUGUGAUUCACCAAUCCUCCCCACAUGUCACAUAAAUUUCUCAAGAAAUCUUGCCUACAAAUGAGAUUCAAACACCUUUCUUUGCAAGCAAAGCAAUUUAAAAGAUAAAGAGACCAACACUGGAGUUGGCUAGCCCAUUCCUCAGCCUUCCGGUCCUCCAUCUCCGAAUCCCCAACACCUCUAGUCAGUAAAUCACAAUGAUACUUCAAUUUCUUAUCUAUGUUCUUCACUCCUACAAAGUUAACGUAUACAACUUCCAGACAGGUAGAAGCGAGUGUCGUGGCUAAAUUAACAACCUCUUCUUCAUACACCGCCACCGAUUGAAACGUUUUCUCGUAGCUAGCGAGGUGUCCGAGAGCUCGAACCGCAACCCUUUGCUCAACCCAGCUGAUCUUUCCUCUGAAGAGCUCCAUUAAUGGCGGUAUGACACCCGAUUGGACGGCCAUUUCUGCGAACUCCACCUUGUUCAUAGUGUAAGAGCCAAUCACAUGAGCAGCAUAGUAGGGUAUAUAUAUGUUUUGGCCCCUCAAAAGCCAGUUUCUAUCAUUAAUACCCUUGUUGAUUAAGUUUGCCAUGCAGUUGAAGAUGCCGAGAGACGGGAACUUUGGAUCAUCAGGGUGAGUCAUGGCGAUAUGCCAUAGACCGCUGAGCACCAAGACAUGUUCUUGGUUUUCUGUUAGGGGCAUUUCCUUGAAACAGUUUUCCAUUCCCGCUCUCCUGAGUGACGAUUCUGGCUCUUCCAUGCUGCAAAAGAAACAAGAUGGAUUGGUGCAAGUCUUGUUUUUCUUCAGUGAAUGAGAAUCCAUGGUAUUGAACAAGAUUGAGUUUAGUGUAUUGGAUUUGAUCAGUUUUAGGCUAUAUGUGUAGUAAAAAGAUUCAGCAGAGAAAGGAAAGUAUUGGAAAGUAAGUGGAGUGCUGCCCGUGUACUGGUGUAGUUACACCUAGUAGCCGACGAAAAAGUAGGGUUUUAUAAUCUAAAACUUUUGACGCAACUUCCAUAUUUGAAAUUGUUCCUUAUUUUAGAGAUAGGUUUAGGCCUCACAAUUCUGCUCUUCUGGUAGGGGAUGAAAGGGUGAAUUAUUCCACUUCUGA